Molecule: ribosomal RNA, 465 nt
Filed under: uncultured bacterium
Lineage: Bacteria
Description: partial 16S ribosomal RNA
Rfam family: Bacterial small subunit ribosomal RNA
Source: RNAcentral
CCUACGGGAGGCAGCAGUGGGGAAUCUUGCGCAAUGGGCGAAAGCCUGACGCAGCGACGCCGCAUGAGGGAUGAAGGUCUUCGGAUCGUAAACCUCUGUCAGCAGGGAAGAACGGUCACUGUGCUAAUCAGCAGUGCAUUGACGGUACCUGCCAAGGAAGCACCGGCUAACUCCGUGCCAGCAGCCGCGGUAAUACGGAGGGUGCGAGCGUUAAUCGGAAUUACUGGGCGUAAAGCGCUCGUAGGCGGUAGGUCAGGUCAAGGGUGAAAUCCCCGCGCUCAACGUGGGAAGUGCCUUUGAAACUGGCAAACUGGAGUGCGGGAGGGGCAAGCGGAAUUCCUGGUGUAGCGGUGGAAUGCGUAGAUAUAAGGAGGAACACCGGCGGCGAAGGCGGCCGGCUGGACCGCGACUGACGUUGAGGCUCGAAAGCGUGGGGAGCGAACAGGAUUAGAUACCCUAGUAGUC